GUCAGGAUGGCCGAGUGGUCCGAGGCACUGUGUUCAGGUCGCAGUCUCCACUGGAGGCGUCGGUUUAAAUCCCACUUAUGACA
Molecule: transfer RNA, 83 nt
Filed under: Perca flavescens (yellow perch)
Lineage: Eukaryota; Metazoa; Chordata; Actinopteri; Perciformes; Percidae
Description: tRNA-Leu
Rfam family: tRNA
About the family: Transfer RNA (tRNA) molecules are approximately 80 nucleotides in length. Their secondary structure includes four short double-helical elements and three loops (D, anti-codon, and T loops).
Source: RNAcentral